UUCCCUCAAAUUUAGGAUACAGUGGAGAUGUUUGGUACCCACAACCAGCUCCCAAGGACCAUCUGUGGCGCUACAAGCCAAACCAAGCUAUGACUCCUCAUAUUCUAGGACUACCAUUGAUGCACAGUUGAGGUAUGCAGCUAGAACAAAGGAUAUGUUGGACAGGUACUUCAAGGGUGAGGAUUUCCCUGCGUUUGGGCUGCAAGUGCUCAUAUCAUAAUUGUUGUUAUUGGUUCAAGCGUUUUAUCUUUGGCUUGCUAUUGCUCAACUUGGUUGGAUUGAUGAUUUUGAUCAAAUUUGACGACUUUCAAUUGUUGUUGUUGUACUUUCUUUCACUUGCUCGAUGAUCGGUCAAGGUUUAGGCAUUGAUCAAGUAGCAUAAACUAAAAAAUUGGAGGGAGUUUAACUGGAGUUAGCAUUGGAACUGUGACUGAAAUGCAAAAAGUUUGGAGAACUUUACAAGCACUGUGAGCUAUUGCUUUUGCCAAUUCUUACUCCCUCAUACUUAUGGAGAUUCAGGAUUUUGGAACUCCGACUUCUCCAGCUGACGAAAUAGAGAACAGGCUUCUUCUGGCAUGACGCCGAGCAGAAUACUCUGCUCGAACGCAUGCUCUUACCCAGAAUCUUAUUGAUGUCCAUUUUACACAGACUGAAUCUGACUGUACAUGUAUAACUCCACCACAACCUACUGUGUUCCUUCAAAACAAAGCAAGUUAGCAUAAGCAGGAAGAAGUACGAGCAUCAACAAGCAAGCAAAUGUUGUUCUUCUGCCACAUCUUUGCUCCAGGGAGCUGCAAGUUGGUUAGUUCUGGCUACUCCAAGAAACACUGCCUCAGAUGAACUAUGGUGUACACAUAUGUAGAAUAUUGCUUUAUAAGUAUGUGUACAAGUAUGUGUACGUACACAAGACAUACUAUCUUUUGAAAUUUAUUGCAAAUUUAUAUAUUUGAAUUACUUAUUAGCCAAUUUAAUG
Long non-coding RNA from Solanum stenotomum, 973 nucleotides. RefSeq lists it as uncharacterized. NCBI's taxonomy places the organism in Eukaryota, Viridiplantae, Streptophyta, Magnoliopsida, Solanales, Solanaceae. The transcript has 5 exons. The record is from RefSeq and is a predicted model, not a curated record.